Molecule: long non-coding RNA, 883 nt
Organism: Monomorium pharaonis (pharaoh ant)
Lineage: Eukaryota; Metazoa; Arthropoda; Insecta; Hymenoptera; Formicidae
Exons: 2
Source: RefSeq, a predicted model, not a curated record
UUUGCUAAUGCAUCUUUAUAAAGUUUAUGGCCGUUCAAAUGGUGAUUAGUGGUGAUUAGUGGUGAUUAUUCUUCGGAUUUGGUUAUUAAAGUGAGAGGAGGAUAUUCAAAAUUGUAUUUUUCCGGUGUAUAUGCUGUUGUUGAUAAGAAGUUCACUGAGGUUCAUCAUGUUUUAAAUUCAGCGAACCAUUAUAUAGAGAAUUGGAAUUGUAUAUCAAAAGGAAUAUUUGAAGCUGUACUUUAUAGUUUAUCUAUUAUCAUUAUCUUAUGACAUACCAGGUAAGAGAAUAGUUACAAGUAUUAUAAUUUUAUUUAAAAGAAUAUUUCAUUGCACAUAGUCAAAAAAAUAUUUUAUUGUAACUGUAUGGUUCUUAAAGUUGAAUUGAAUGUAUUGAAUGUAUGAUAGUUAUUAUAGAAUUAUCUUUUUUAGAUUUUUAAAAUAGGUAAAAAGCGAGAAAACUUGUCUGAAACAAUUUUAGAAAAGUAUAUAGACCAUAAUGUCAUUCAGCUGAUGAUGACUUGUUUGUCGAUGAUGGGAUUAUAGGCUGUAAUGUAGAAGAUGUGUUUAUAUGAAUCCCAAAGAUCAUUUGUAUGCCUUAGUCUUUUUAGUCAUGUAUUCUUUGUGAGCCAGAAAUAUGGAUAAGACGCAGAAAUAUACCGAUAAGUUUAUUAGUCAAAUUAAAACUAAAAAGUAAGUAUUUAAAUACUUUCUUGUUGAAACAAUUUAAUACAAUUCUUUUUAUAUAUUCAUAAAGAUCACAUUAAAAAAUUUUAUUUACAAUUUUGAUUGAGGCAUACAUGAGACGGAAGACUACAAAAUGAUUGAGUUUUCUUUUUAAAUAUAAACUGAUACGUAAUUCCAUAUUUUACUUUUCAUUCUUUUU